Long non-coding RNA from Xenopus laevis (African clawed frog), 587 nucleotides. RefSeq lists it as uncharacterized. The record is from RefSeq and is a predicted model, not a curated record. Lineage: Eukaryota; Metazoa; Chordata; Amphibia; Anura; Pipidae. The transcript is spliced from 2 exons.
GCCAGUCGGCAAAACGCGUCAGCAGUGACACAGGAGUGUGGAAGCGGCAGCCGGAGACCGGAGGCAAACGUGUUGGAUUGAUAAAGACGCUAAAGAACUCGGAGCAAUAUACGGAAUACGAUUUUACUGAAGAAACAUUUGUGGAAAUUGGCGAUAUGACAAUGGACUGGAUAUGCCAUGAAUCUUUAAAAAUCGACUAACGUCGGGAAAAAAAUUUUUUGUAUAAUGCUGGACUUUUUUUGAUAUAUAUUUUUUCUUUUCUUACUUAUGUCUUAAUACCAGCAUACUUCUGAAGGAUUGUAUGUACACUUUCACUAAGUUUUAUAAAAAAAAAAUUUAUGUGUAUGGUCGACAAUUUUAAUAUAUUUUAUUCCACAUACUGCUGUAUUUUAUACUAACACUGUUAAUAGACACUUUAACAUGAAACAUGGAGGUUUUGAACUUUAACCUUGUAAUUAACGGGUGGGAUUCAAACAGGAUGUGUUUAAAAAGUCACUUUGUUUCCAUUUUGUUACACUUGAUAAAGGGCGUUUGAGGCCCGAAACAUGUAGUGUUUUGUAGCUGCUAAUAAACUACAUUGUUGCAGA